UAAAAAAGAAAAUUUAAAUACAAUAAAUUACCUUAAUCUUCUCCAACUUCCCAUUUAUUUCUUUGAUAUAACUGAUCUAAAAUUAUGAAGGUAUGCGUUAAUCACUCCCUCAAAAGUUGGUUAAUUUUAUUUUCUAGAGGAGAAAAUAAACACCAGAUUGGUUACAGGUGAUUCAUACAUGAAAGAUUCUGGACAUAUUUUUCCCCUAGCUUAUGGAAUUUUGGAUUCGGAGAAUUAUGCGGCAUGGAGUUGAUUUUUUGAGCAAUUGAAAGAAACUCAUGGUAUAAAAUCAAAUAUGUGUGUUGUGUCCGACAAGAACGAGAGCUUUAUAAGAGAUGUGUCAACUGUUUAUGGGGGUGUUGUAUAGUAUGCUUGCAUCUGGCAUUUGUGGAAAAAUGUGAUAACUAAUUUCAGGAAGUCACAUGCUAAAUUGUCUAAAGUGUUUUAUGCAAUGACAAAAGCACAUAUAAUUUUUGAA
Capsicum annuum is the source of this 478-nucleotide long non-coding RNA. RefSeq lists it as uncharacterized. NCBI's taxonomy places the organism in Eukaryota, Viridiplantae, Streptophyta, Magnoliopsida, Solanales, Solanaceae. The transcript has 2 exons. The record is from RefSeq and is a predicted model, not a curated record.